GGGGAUAUAACUCAGGGGUAAAGCGCUCCCUUAGCAUGGGAGAGGGCUGGGGUUCGUAUUCCCCAUAUCUCCA
RNAcentral lists this transfer RNA (73 nucleotides) under Strongyloides venezuelensis. It matches the Rfam family "tRNA". From Rfam's summary of the family: Transfer RNA (tRNA) molecules are approximately 80 nucleotides in length. Their secondary structure includes four short double-helical elements and three loops (D, anti-codon, and T loops). Further hydrogen bonds mediate the characteristic L-shaped molecular structure. tRNAs have two regions of fundamental functional importance: the anti-codon, which is responsible for specific mRNA codon recognition, and the 3' end, to which the tRNAs corresponding amino acid is attached (by aminoacyl-tRNA synthetases). tRNAs cope with the degeneracy of the genetic code in two manners: having more than one tRNA (with a specific anti-codon) for a particular amino acid; and 'wobble' base-pairing, i.e. permitting non-standard base-pairing at the 3rd anti-codon position. The record is from Rfam by way of RNAcentral. Lineage: Eukaryota; Metazoa; Nematoda; Chromadorea; Rhabditida; Strongyloididae.